GGACGUUUUCCUAAAGGAAAUGGGGAGCCGUGAGAGGACUUUAUACAGAGGAAUGCUAAUUUCAGCACCAGACCCCUAGUCAUCCAGAUUAGCCAGUCUGAUUCAUUCCAUCCUCUCCCCGGUUUCCUCAGAUACAGUGAGUUGCCACAUCUGCUUCUCCCACAUUUGCUGCAUUGCUCCCUCCUCCCAAGCGAACCAUUGUCUCCCACGUGAACUCAUUGCCUCCCACGUGGACUAUUGCAACGCUAUGGAUCCCUGCUCAACUUCAGUUCCACUAAUACUCGCACUGCUGCCAAGGUAACAGAGAAUUAUUCUAAUCACGAGUUCUCCACAAUCUGUCUGCAGUGCUGUGCAUUUGUCAGACCUCACCCUGAUCCUAUGAAAUGUCAGUAAGCUGCCUGGAAGAAAGAACUCACAUGGUUGACAAAACCCUCUCAGAUGGGUCAGUUACACUGAAAGUAAAUAUAGCCCCAAACUCGUGUAUCCCGGAGACCCAGGCCAGCUCCCUGAGACUUUUCACCUUUAUUUCCGCAACUACAAAAUGGGCAUGACUGCAAAUCAUGCUCCUUCCUGCAAAGGGCUUUUAUAAAAUAUCAUGAGAAAAUAUUGACAAAACAUUGUGAAUUCGUGGUUAAAAUAUUCCUGGAACAUCUCAGUGGAUAUAGAAUUUGGGGUUUAAAGAUCAAAGAAUGAAGUCUGAUAAAUGAUACAUUUCAGUUUUUGGCAUCUUUCUCUCAGCUUUCAUGAUUCCUGGAAUUAUUCUGCACAUCCAGUUUUUCUUUUAACAACUAUUUUUAUGGUAUUUUUUUUCAGAAACCAUAUUACUGGUCUCUUCAAUGUCCUGUAAACUCUAAUCUGU
This 859-nucleotide long non-coding RNA is filed under the name Equus caballus (horse). RNAcentral's name for it is "lncRNA (ENSECAG00000045509.1)". Lineage: Eukaryota; Metazoa; Chordata; Mammalia; Perissodactyla; Equidae. The record is from RNAcentral.